AAAAUCCGUCGACUUGAAAAAUCGUGAGGGUUCAA
Molecule: transfer RNA, 35 nt
Filed under: Zehneria pisifera
Lineage: Eukaryota; Viridiplantae; Streptophyta; Magnoliopsida; Cucurbitales; Cucurbitaceae
Description: partial tRNA-Leu
Source: RNAcentral